Ovis aries (sheep) is the source of this 73-nucleotide non-coding RNA. The record is from Rfam. NCBI's taxonomy places the organism in Eukaryota, Metazoa, Chordata, Mammalia, Artiodactyla, Bovidae.
UCCUUGGUGGUCCAGUGGUUAGGACUCUGUGCUUUCACUGCCCUGGGCCCAGGCUCAAUCCCUGGUCAGGGAA